GAACGUCCGACUAACAGCCCUUCGUAAGCACUUAAGCCAGUGCUUAGCAGCAUAGAGGAAGAGUGGAGCUCAGUGAAACAGUGGAGAAGUCUAGCCGCUACCUCUCAGUGAGAGAGAGAGAGAGAAGAGACAUCAUUUUAUGCGCAACAGAACAUGUACAGAUUUUUUUUUUACCACGAUGCUGGACCUGGACCUGGACCUUCCUCCACAUCCUCAACAAAAUAAAAGCAAUACCAAAAGGCGCUGGGGCAAACAGUGGCACUGUUUCACCUUAUGCAGAUUCCAGAAUUAAAAGGGACUCUAUGGUUCCACCGGCUUCCUUUUGGCCUGAGACACACGUCGGCCAUGGCCUAACUCAGCAGGAGGUGGAUCUGGAGUGGAUUGCGCAGAAGGGAAACCAUGGACAACCCCACCCCUUAAACUGGAGAAAGACCUCUUUUUGAGAAUAAAAUUCCACAUUAGUGGGUGGUUUUCCUAUUUAUAUUCCCCCCAAAAAUGUCCAUACUUUAUACUGUGAUGCUGCCUGAGACAUCAACAGCUGUCAUCAUAGGCAGCUCUAUGGUGAGAAACAUCUUGGUCCCCAAGGCAAAAACCCUUUGUUACCCAAGAGCACAGGACAUAAGGCUGCUUCCGACUGUUCUACCACAGCCGGGAGCUGAAACUGUCGUAGUCCAUGUGGGGUCCAACGACAUCAGGAGGGCUAGCUUGGAACAUUUGAAAAUGGAUUUUAAAAUAACUGAUUUUAGCAUUAAAAAGACUCAACUAAAUAAAACAGCCAAUUAUUUCAGGUCCAGGACAAUUGUCGGGUCGCAGGUGUGAAAGAUUCAGUAGACUGCUGGCCUUACACAUCUGGCUAAAAUACUACAAUUGUCACGACUUCUACCGAAGUCGUUGCCUCUCCUUGUUCGGGCGGUGCUCGGCGUCACCGGUCUUCUAGCCAUCAUUGAUCCAUUUUCCAUUGGUUUUGUCUUGUCUUCCCACAGCUGUUUUCAAUCCCAUUCAUUACCUGUUGUGUAUUUAACCCUCUGUUUCCCCUCAUGUCUUUGUCAGAGAUUGUUUAUUGUCAGUGUAGUGUUUUUUGUUGUAUAGGUGCGCGACGGGUCUUCGUACCCAUAUUUGUUUAUGUUCUUUUUCCUGUUUAGUGUUAUGGAGCAUGUUACUAGGACAUUAUUAAAAGACUCCAUUUUACACU
Long non-coding RNA from Oncorhynchus kisutch (coho salmon), 1192 nucleotides. RefSeq lists it as uncharacterized. Lineage: Eukaryota; Metazoa; Chordata; Actinopteri; Salmoniformes; Salmonidae. The transcript has 4 exons. The record is from RefSeq and is a predicted model, not a curated record.